RNAcentral lists this long non-coding RNA (287 nucleotides) under Pan troglodytes (chimpanzee). RNAcentral's name for it is "long non-coding RNA NONPTRT017258". Lineage: Eukaryota; Metazoa; Chordata; Mammalia; Primates; Hominidae. The record is from RNAcentral.
ACCUCUACAAGGAAAGUCAGAGGCGAAAUGUGGGGUUGGAGCCCACACCCUAUGUGGUAGAAACUAUUAAACACAAUUUGUGAAUAUUGAGAUUAACUUAUUUAUUUUCCUCAAAUAAGAGAAGACUUGAAUCUAUAUAUUCAAAGGGUACUGUAUAUCAGAGAACACUGAUCCAAAGUAGUCAAUACUGAUAAUAUAUGCCUAUAAAGUUAUUGGCAAAAGCAACCAAGAGAAAGUGGUGGUCACAAUCUUAAUAUCAGACAAAGUGGAAUUCUUGCAAAAAAAGC